CCGCGGUGAAUACGUUCCCGGGCCUUGUACACACCGCCCGUCAAGCCAUGGGAAUCAGGCGCACCCAAAGACGUGUAUACGUUUAAGGUGAAACUGGUGACUGGGGCU
This 108-nucleotide ribosomal RNA is filed under the name uncultured bacterium. RNAcentral describes it as "partial 16S ribosomal RNA". It matches the Rfam family "Bacterial small subunit ribosomal RNA", at positions 1357 to 1482 of the family's 1533-position model. The record is from RNAcentral.